CAGCUUUUUCCUUUAUUUAUAUCGGUGGAAGUGUAGAAAUUCCUUAUUUGACUUAUACAAAUGACCUCAAUGAUCCAACAUCACAGAAGUUCAUCCUGCAAACAAACACAAUCCAAAAUUAUGAACCACAAAUGUGGAGCUGGCCAUGAGCAUGAAAAUACCUGGAAGACAGCAAGACCAACACAGGUGUCCAAUGUAAGAUAUUCAGAGAACAUUGAUGCAGUAAGCUGUAAGACAAAAUUCAAGAAUGUGCAUUGAUGUCUGUCUAUUAAAGAACCAGAACAGAAUUUGGUGACUGAAAUUAUGUUAAAAG
Molecule: long non-coding RNA, 313 nt
Filed under: Geospiza fortis (medium ground-finch)
Lineage: Eukaryota; Metazoa; Chordata; Aves; Passeriformes; Thraupidae
Description: lncRNA (ENSGFOG00000001409.1)
Source: RNAcentral